CAAUAGAAAAAAGAUUCAUUAUCCAUAUUUCACAAGUUACAUACAGAAAUAACUGUUAGUCUGCUCUGAGGUUAUUAUGGUUAUUUCUAAAGUUAUGCCAAUUGGGUACCUGAACUUGGCAUGUUAUUUCACGGCAUUGUACAUCAUCAUUUUGGAAUAUGGAACAAAGUUUUGGAAUGAAGUAUUUCAUUAAUCUUAU
This 199-nucleotide long non-coding RNA is filed under the name Panicum hallii. RNAcentral's name for it is "long non-coding RNA (PHAL_LNC000691)". Lineage: Eukaryota; Viridiplantae; Streptophyta; Magnoliopsida; Poales; Poaceae. The record is from RNAcentral.